UAUCUGGAGGAACACCAGUGGCGAAGGCGGUACGCUGGGCCUGGUCUGACGCUAAGACGCGAAAGCAUGGGGAGCGAACGGGAUUAGAAACCCCGGUAGUCCAUGCCGUAAACGAUGCUAACUAGGUGUUGUGGGUAAAAGACUGGCAGUGCCGGAGUUAACGCGAUAAGUUAGCCACCUGGGGACUACGGUCGCAAGGCUAAAACUCAAAGGAAUUGACGGGGGCCCGCACAAGCAGCGGAGCGUGUGGUUUAAUUGGAGGCUACACGAAGAACCUUACGUGGGCUUGACAUGACGGUGGUAGGGAACCGAAAGGGGACCGACCUUCGGGAGCCGUCACAGGUGCUGCAUGGCUGUCGUCAGCUCGUGUCUUGAGAUGUUCGGUUAAGUCCGAUAACGAGCGCAACCCUCAUCGCUAGUUACAAGUGUCUAGCGAGACUGCCCGUUCAACGCGGGAGGAAGGCGGGGAUGACGUCAAGUCAGCAUGGCCUUUAUGUCCAGGGCUACACACACGCUACAAUGGCCGGUACAAUGGGUCGCCAACCCGCGAGGGGGAGCCAAUCCACCAAAGCCGGUCACAGUUCGAAUUGCCGGUUGCAAUCCGCGUGCAUAAAUUCGGAGUUGGUAGUAACAACAGGUCAUUUAUACUGCGGUGAAUACGUUCCCGGGCCUUGUACACACCCCCCGUCACGUCAUGGGAGCUGGUCAUGCAAGAAGUCGGCGAGCCAACCUCAAGGAGGCAGCCGCCUAAGGCAGGUCUGGUGACUGGGACGAAGUCGUAACAAGGUAACCAAGGGCGAA
Molecule: ribosomal RNA, 801 nt
Filed under: uncultured organism
Description: bacterial SSU rRNA
Rfam family: Bacterial small subunit ribosomal RNA
Source: RNAcentral